UACGGAGGGGGCUAGCGUUGUUCGGAAUUACUGGGCGUAAAGCGCACGUAGGCGGCUUUGCAAGUUAGAGGUGAAAGCCCAGGGCUUAACCCUGGAAUUGCCUUUAAAACUGCAUCGCUAGAAUUGUGGAGAGGUGAGUGGAACUGCGAGUGUAGAGGUGAAAUUCGUAGAUAUUCGCAAGAACACCAGUGGCGAAGGCGGCUCACUGGCCCGGUACUGACGCUGAGGUGCGAAAGCGUGGGGAGCAAACAGG
Molecule: ribosomal RNA, 253 nt
Filed under: uncultured prokaryote
Description: partial 16S ribosomal RNA
Rfam family: Bacterial small subunit ribosomal RNA
Source: RNAcentral